RNAcentral lists this ribosomal RNA (456 nucleotides) under Camaena gabriellae platytaenia. RNAcentral's name for it is "partial large subunit ribosomal RNA". It matches the Rfam family "Archaeal large subunit ribosomal RNA", at positions 1894 to 2683 of the family's 2987-position model. The record is from RNAcentral. Lineage: Eukaryota; Metazoa; Mollusca; Gastropoda; Stylommatophora; Camaenidae.
GUUUAUCAAAAACAUAACUACAUGAUUAUACAUGUGGCGCUUUCUGCUCAAUGAUUGUUUAAAUAGCUGCAGUACUCUGACUGUGCAAAGGUAGCAUAAUAAAUUGGCUCAUAAUUGGAGUCUAGUAUGAAGGAAAACAUGAGGAGUAACUUUAUUUAAAAUAUUAAUCGAAAUUAAUUAAUACGUGAAAAUGCGUAUAUUUAAAAUAAUAGACGAGAAGACCCUAAAAAUUUUAAUUAUAUUGUCGACUAAUGUUUUUGCUGGGGCGGCAUGAUAACAAUUAACUUAUAUAUAUUGAACAUGGAGUGUUUAUACCGUUAGAUUAAAUUACUUUAGGGAUAACAGCAUAAUUUAUAAAAAGUUUGUGACCUCGAUGUUGGAUUAGGUAAAUGAAACUUAGAAGGUAUACAUUAGUGCUCUGUUCGAGCUUUUUACACCUACGUGAUCUGAGUUCAG